AUCCUCUCAGGGUCACACCUAGGGAGUUUUCAAUACUCUACCGGUCUUGACUAUGGGAGGGAGAGUCAAGCAGACAAACCCAUUCCAUUUCUAGCUUGGGCAGCAGCUAGCAAGUGGAAGGCAAUUUGCUACAAGU
Non-coding RNA from Ornithorhynchus anatinus (platypus), 136 nucleotides. NCBI's taxonomy places the organism in Eukaryota, Metazoa, Chordata, Mammalia, Monotremata, Ornithorhynchidae. The record is from Rfam.